Molecule: ribosomal RNA, 796 nt
Filed under: uncultured bacterium
Lineage: Bacteria
Description: bacterial SSU rRNA
Rfam family: Bacterial small subunit ribosomal RNA
Source: RNAcentral
ACGGGUGAGUAACACGUAGGUAAUCCACCCCUAGGACGAGGAUAGCUUCUGGAAACGGAAGGUAAAACUGGAUAGUAUAUAGAAGGGCAUCCUUUUAUAUUUAAAAGAGCAAUCUACCUAGGGAAGAGCCUGCGGCGCAUUAGCCAGUUGGCGGGGUAACGGCCCACCAAAGCGAUGAUGCGUAGCCGGACUGAGAGGUUGAACGGCCACAUUGGGACUGAGACACGGCCCAGACUCCUACGGGAGGCAGCAGUAGGGAAUUUUCGGCAAUGGGCGGAAGCCUGACCGAGCAAUGCCGCGUGAAUGAAGAAGUAUUUCGGUAUGUAAAGUUCUUUUAUUAGGGACGAAAAAACAAAUUGACGGUACCUAAUGAAUAAGCUCCGGCUAACUACGUGCCAGCAGCCGCGGUAAUACGUAGGGAGCGAGCGUUAUCCGGAUUUAUUGGGCGUAAAGGGUGCGUAGGCGGUUUGAUAAGUUCAUGGUGAAAAUGCGGUGCUCAACGCCGUAUGGCUAUGGAUACUGUCUGACUAGAGUGUGGUAGAGGUGAGUGGAACUCCAUGUGUAGCGGUAAAAUGCGUAAAUAUAUGGAAGAACACCAGUGGCGAAAGCGGCUCACCAGGCCAAGACUGACGCUGAGGCACGAAAGCGUGGGGAGCAAACAGGAUCAGAUACCCUGGUAGUCCACGCCCUAAACGAUGAGUACUAAGUGUUGGGGUAACCCAGUGCUGCAGUUAACGCAAUAAGUACUCCGCCUGAGUAGUACGUACGCAAGUAUGAAACUCAAAUGAAUUGACGG